AUUAUGAAGCGGUGGCGCAGUAUUCUAGUCAGUUCUUUACGUUCCUAAGACGGGCCUAAAAAUCCGUAGACGGGCAUAUCGAUGAAGUCCCUGGUGUUUGCUUCUUACGCCCAGUUUGGGGUGGAUGCUGGGGGUUAAGGUUUCAGGGCGUCUUUCAAUGGCAUGAAAUCACGACCCUGUUACCGUGGAGACCUGUUGCUGUGGAGCACCUAUACAUCUUCAGAUUGAUGGAUGCUCUACGGGGCAGGAGAAGAACCUGCAAUGCGGUGCAAAGUACCUUUACGGUCCAACGACGCUGUGUGCAGUGUAGCCUGCCUUGAGUGGGCAUGGUGAAUCGGGUGUCCGCAGGUUGUUGUCACGGCCAUGGCAUAAUCUGUAUUGACCUGUGAAACCAUGUCUGCAAAAGAGGCUAAGAACGUGGGGAGCUGUCGCGGAAAACGCCUAGACUGUCGUAACUGGGCAGGCAGAGGAUUGCAGUACGGACUAAGUGGCAAUUCGGUCCCGGAAUCGGUGACGACCCGGCACAGACCAUAAUGGGAAACCGCCAGCUGGCAACGGCUGGUCGCCUGCGGGGAAAUCCAACCGAACCUCAAGCCGUAAGAUUUACUCUGUCUGCUGCCACCCUUGAUGA
This 631-nucleotide small RNA is filed under the name Butyricicoccus porcorum. The record is from RNAcentral. Lineage: Bacteria; Bacillati; Bacillota; Clostridia; Eubacteriales; Butyricicoccaceae.